Molecule: ribosomal RNA, 370 nt
Filed under: uncultured bacterium
Lineage: Bacteria
Description: bacterial SSU rRNA
Rfam family: Bacterial small subunit ribosomal RNA
Source: RNAcentral
AUACGUAGGGGACAAGCGUUGUCCGGAAUCACUGGGCGUAAAGGGCGCGUAGGCGGUUUUAUAAGUCAGAUGUGAAAGAUACCGGCUCAACCGGUGACGUGCAUCUGAAACUGUAAGACUUGAGUACUGGAGAGGCAAGUGGAAUUCCUAGUGUAGCGGUGAAAUGCGUAGAUAUUAGGAGGAACACCGGUGGCGAAGGCGGCUUGCUGGACAGAUACUGACGCUGAGGGUGCGAAAGCGUGGGGAGCGAACAGGAUUAGAUACCCUGGUAGUCCACGCCGUAAACGAUGAUGACUAGGUGUUGGGGAAACUCAGUGCCGCAGUUAACACAUUAAGUCAUCCGCCUGGGGAGUACGACCGCAAGGUUGAA